Molecule: ribosomal RNA, 253 nt
Filed under: uncultured bacterium
Lineage: Bacteria
Description: partial 16S ribosomal RNA
Rfam family: Bacterial small subunit ribosomal RNA
Source: RNAcentral
UACGAGAGCCCCGAGCGUUAUCCGGAAUCAUUGGGCGUAAAGGGUGUGUAGGUGGUUUCAUUAGUCUUCUGGUAAAGACCCAGGCUCAACUUGGGGAAAUUGGAGGAAACGGUGAGACUAGAAUAUGUGAGGGGUGUACGGAACUCUACGUGUAGGGGUGAAAUCCGUUGAUAUGUAGGGGAACACCAAAAGCGAAAGCAGUACACUAGCGCAUUAUUGACACUCAAACACGAAAGCGUGGGUAGCGAAUGGG